GCUAUUGUCCUUAAUUUCUAUGUGAACUUAGACAAGUCACUCAGUCUGUCUGGGUCUCAAUUUCUUUCUCUGUAAAAGAAGAUGGUGGUUGGUAACAUGACCUCUAAGGCUUUAAAUAUGUAAUUCUAUGAUUUCAAUAUUUUAUUUCUGUUCCUAUUUUAUAUCAAAAGAAUUUUGAUCACUUUUAAAAGUCAUAAUGUCACUUGAUGGAACUGGGAAUUUGUGUUUUUCUGCAAUAUUUUGAGGUCACUUAAGAUAUAUUACAAAGAACAAAAACAUAGCCCGCCUGCUUGGAUGCAAAUCCCAAAAGGUGGAUUUUUGCCCCAGCUUGGGGUUUACUAAACGGUGCUUUGUUGGACUAGUAGGGUGAGAGAUAGAGAACUAGACAUAUUACAGGAAAAUAUACAGCGUCUGUUCCCUGAAAUCCCAUUUUGGGAACCAUAAUGCACAUUUCGACGACCAUAAAUGUUUUGUUGAGCAUCCUUGCACAAUCUGUCCUGAUGCCAUUAUUCCAUCCUAUAAAGGCUGGGAAACAGUCCUGUAAAUUAGCAUGGAUCCAGAGAUGAAAGCAAAAAUCACUUAGCCUUCAGUAAGUUAGGCUUGAGGUUUAAAAGCAUUGAGAGCAAUGCCUCUGCUUUCGAGAGCCUUAGUGUCUUGAGCCUAGAGGUCCCGGGGCCCAGGCUCUAAUGCAAGCUUCUGACCUCAAGGAUUUUGAAUAUGCUCUGCUUGCAAAGGAACAUUACAGGAUGUUCAGAGCUCGAGCUAGCCCCUUCUUCCUGUCCAGGAAACCCAGACCACUGAGAAAUGUUUCCAGCUAAUGGCUGUGGAGGUCCGAAUCUGGAGGAGAAAGCCUGGGGACCAAAGGGCAAACAAGAUGAUAAUGGAAGCCCUCCGCAGUGUGCUGAAAAGGGGACAGAUAGAGGGAUAGAGAAAGGGGCAGAGAAAAAGGAAGAGAGAGGAGGAGGAAAAGAGUGAGUAAAGACCAGGCAGAUGCCACCUUUUCUCAAUAGGACUUAAACAGAAAUCAAUUCCGUGAAAUAUCCCUAGUAUUAUGGAUGGAGAAACUGCUGCCCCACUGAAUUUUCAGCCUUGUUUUUUUUUUCCCUUUCAUCUGUAGAUAUAGUUGGCUCUAUGUUCAGAAUGGGUAGUGAUGGAGGAACAUUACUUCAAAUACUGAACCAAAGAAAUGCAGGAAGUCUAAGGGUGCUCGUUUUUAAGAAGCAAAUAAUUGGACUGUGGACAUGCUUCUGCCUCUUCUGACAUUGGUUCAGCAGUGAACUCAUAAGACGAAUAACUCUCAAAUGGCUAAUAAAGCAGAAACCUCUUCAGUGGAUAUUUGUAAU
Molecule: long non-coding RNA, 1343 nt
Filed under: Monodelphis domestica (gray short-tailed opossum)
Lineage: Eukaryota; Metazoa; Chordata; Mammalia; Didelphimorphia; Didelphidae
Description: lncRNA (ENSMODG00000032235.2)
Source: RNAcentral